UUUUUUUUUAAUUUAAAAAAAACUUUGGAUUUUUUAUAGAGACAGGAUCUUGCUAUGUUGCCCAGGAUGUUCUUGAACUCCAGGCCUCAAGCAAUCCUCCCACCUCGGUCUCCCAAAGUGCUGGGAUUACAGGCAUAAGCCACCACACCUGGUUCACCUUACUCACUUCUAUUCCAGGACGGUUCAACUAUGAUGUUUUGGCUCCUCUUCUCAAGCAGGUUGCCACACCUGGUUCCAUGAUCUCUUCUGGCACAGUAGCUGGUAUUUGGCAAACAUAGGUUUCAUCCUGGGAUCUCAGGGAUUGAAAUCUGUCGUAGGUGUGCACCAGAAAGUGGUGGCAAGAGAUGAAGCUUCGGAGGAGGCUGACCUCGGCCAGGAUUCUUAAGUCUCAAAGUUUCAGCUUUCUCAUCCCUCAACGGACAUGAAAUCUACCUAUUUGUAACUCCAGGGAAGUAAAUGAGAUAAUGUUUGGAAGAUAUCUAGUCUACCAGGCGCUCAGGCGGGGGGGCGAAAGUUCUGUUCCCUGCCCCUUCUCUACCAAAUGGCUUUAAAAUCAGAAUUACGGGUAGGAAAUGGGACUGCGAAAACAAUGGAAGCUGAUUCUGGCCUAAAGGAUACUUAUCUCUAUACAAAGGGCUUCUGAUUCAAAGAGGCCCCUGGAUUCAAAAACACAAGCAGAGCAACACCAACUCGUGGAGUUUGGGACGAGUUGAAUUCCGGAUAAAGAUGCCUGUAAAGAGGAGUUGAUGAGAAUCCAGAAAAGCACUUGAAAUGCCCAGGGUUUGCAUGGCACAUUCCCCAGGAUUUUUUCGCACCGCAUUUAGAGGUUUAGACGGAGUGAGCUCGAAUCAGGCCAAAAGCCUUAGGUUACUCCUUGGCGGCGGCUGGGCAGAGGUCAGAUCAACAGGUGUGGGAGGCUGCGAGGUGAGGGAAGAAGCAGGUGUCGGUGGAGGCCCCAGUUCCUCUGGCCCAGAGGCUCCAAGACUGCUAUUGGUGUUCCAGCAGCGGGCGGAGGAGUCCUGCCCGGCAUCUGGGCGCGUUGGGCCUAGAACCCGGGAGGAGGCAGACGGAGGCGGCGGGUCAGCGGCGGGCC
RNAcentral lists this long non-coding RNA (1093 nucleotides) under Pongo abelii (Sumatran orangutan). Its description in RNAcentral is "lncRNA (ENSPPYG00000037084.1)". Lineage: Eukaryota; Metazoa; Chordata; Mammalia; Primates; Hominidae. The record is from RNAcentral.